GGAACCCGGCCGACAGAAGAUGGCGGAUGAGCAGCGUGCAGGGUUUUCUCCCUGUGGCUCACUCUCUCUUACUGUGCUGGGCGGUUGCUUCCUCUCCUGCUGCCCUUGGGAGUCAGACUCCAGGUUCUUCAGCCUGUGGCCCCUGGGGCUCUCGGGCCUUGGAGGACUGACUAGGAGCACACGGUGGGCCUCUCUGGUUUGGGGGCCUGGGACGUGGCGGAGCCCUGCAGCUUCUGUGCGGCCUGUUCUGGGCGUCGCGUUGAAACGCCAGCCAGUUCCCCAAAAAGAGCAUACGGGAGAGAUGAAGCAGUCCACUCCAAGAACAUUCUCAUCCUACGGAUUACGAGUCCCCCUGGGAUUACAGGAGUGUUGAAGAAAUGUUGUGACACAUCAGAACACCGCGAAAUACAUGGACACUUUCAAAUCAUGGAAGACUCAAGAGUCCUUGUUUUUGCCCAGUAUUAUAAACUGAGUUACAUAAAGGCAGAGCAAAUGCUAAAGCAAACUGUCCAGAAGGAAGGACAGCAGUAAGUGGAGAGACGUUAUUGCAAACAAGCACCUGGCAACAGCUGUGUUAGUUGCCCACCAGGUAUUUUUGAAAAAAGUACUCUGUGAAAAACAGAAACUGCAAGCAAGACAGAUACCAGGAUUAGGGAUCACGGUGACUUCUACCAUCGCUGGAUACUCCCAAAAGGGUUCUCGAGACAGCAGCUGUGUCUGCCCUGCUUUGGCAUUCUUUCCCAGGCAUGGCGACCGUAAGUCAAAAUGUAAUCCUUAGCUGGUCAUACAAGCCCUGUCAUUACUCAUAUAUGCAGAUGAUAUUUUAAAUUCUUCCAGUUUUUUUUUAGGGAGGAGUAUUAAAACAUGAGUAAAAAUUAAUUUGUGGGCUCACUGACAAUGGGGUUUAAUUUGCAUUUUUAUCCUCAUUGAUUAGCACCAAGCCCAGAAGAACUUGUGUUCAUUAAGAACUUGUUGAUUGAGCAGCUAGAAAGGGGCUUGUCUUCCAUAAGGAGAUCUCUACUCUUGUGGGUUUUACUCUCUAGCAGAGGGACAUGAGCAACAGACAAUAAAAUAAAUAUUACAUGGUAUAUUUGAACAAUAUAAAUGCCACGAAAAUGAAAAAUAAAAGUGCAGAGCAAGGAAGAGAGAUGAGAAGGCCAACUGAGAUCUUAAAUGAAGUGGGGAUGGUGGGCCUCACAGAGAGGAGAUGACACACUUGAAGAAGGUGAAGGGGCAAGCACAGAUACUCUGGGGAAUGUGCAUUCCUGCCAGGACCAUCAGUGCUAAAGCCGUAAGUGGAGGUGUGCCUGGCACUUGCCAGGAAUAAUGAGGAAGGGGAGGUGGCAGAGGAGAGCUGAGCUGCCAGGAGAAUGGCACAGGACAUUGGAGGGCUGAUGAGGUCCAGAUGACAUGUGGCUUCACAAACCAUUGCAAGGAUAUGGCAUCUGCUCUGAGUCAAAUGGAAAUUUAUUGCAGGAUUUGAAAAAAGAGUGAUGGCUGUGUCCAGUGGCUCAUGCCUAGAAUCCCAGCACUAUGGGAGGCCGAGACAGGCAGAUCACUUGAGCCCAGGAGUUUUAGACCAGCCUGUGCAACAGGGUGAAACCUCGUUUCUACCAAAAAUACAAAAAUGCAUGGGCGUGGUGGCACAUGCAAAUAGUUCCAGCUAAUCAGGAUGCUGAGGUGGGAGGAUCACUUGAGCUCUGGCAAGUGGAGCCUGCAGUGAGCUGAGAUCACCACCACACUCCAGUCUGGGCAACAGAAUGAGAUCCUGUCUCAAUAAAAAGAAAAAA
Homo sapiens (human) is the source of this 1790-nucleotide long non-coding RNA. Ensembl annotates it as long intergenic non-protein coding RNA 1446. The record is from Ensembl. Lineage: Eukaryota; Metazoa; Chordata; Mammalia; Primates; Hominidae.